RNAcentral lists this ribosomal RNA (255 nucleotides) under uncultured bacterium. RNAcentral describes it as "partial 16S ribosomal RNA". It matches the Rfam family "Bacterial small subunit ribosomal RNA", at positions 524 to 775 of the family's 1533-position model. The record is from RNAcentral.
UACGUAGGGUGCAAGCGUUGUCCGGAAUUAUUGGGCGUAAAGAGCUCGUAGGCGGUCUGUCGCGUCUGCUGUGAAAACUCAGGGCUUAACCCUGAGCUUGCAGUGGGUACGGGCAGACUAGAGUGCGGUAGGGGAGACUGGAAUUCCUGGUGUAGCGGUGAAAUGCGCAGAUAUCGAGGAGGAACACCGGUGGCGAAGGCGGGUCUCUGGGCCGUAACUGACGCUGGAGGAGCGAAAGCAUCGGGGAGCGAACAG